AGGGGCUAAAGUACAUGUGCUUACCUAUACUAGUUCCUUAGUCCAACCGUCGCCGACUAGGAACUCCCCUACAAAGAGCAUAUCUGCCAAAUUCUCACUUGGCUGUGGGAAACAUAAAAAAGCCAAGGAGGGCCAAGCUAAAUAAAAUAAAAUACAAGAAAAAUAGAAAUUACAAUAAUGCCACUUGCACACAAGCAACCAACCAUAGGCUUGACUCAUGACCCUGGGCAAGGUUGCUUGUGGCAUUACAUGUCUUGGCCCUAACACAUGGGGCAACUGCUCGGAGGUGAAGCCAAUCACAUAGGUAAAUAUGUGAAACCGAGACUGAUUGCCGAAAAAUAGUACUUACACUCGAGGGAUCGCAAAUUAGGAAUUAGGGAUCACCGUUUUCACAUCUCCUCAAAUAGUUUCCGAAGAUAUUGCUAUAAUUUCUAACUUGUUGAGGAGAUGCUACGUACUUGUAGCUUGAGGCCUUGAGUUAGAUAUCUAUUUGGCGUGGUGUGGAGGAUCACUUACAAUUGGGGUUUCCUUAAUCUAAGUGAAAGAUUCCAAUCUGCACGGUUUGUAUUUUGUUUGUUCUUCUACUAAUUAAUUCCUGCUUCCUUCCAUUUUUCCUGUCUAAGGCCUCAAGUUUGAGUCCAAUUAUAUUGUUCAUCAAAUUUCCAAUACUUACCUCUCGACAUAUAUAGUUUCGACUGCUUGUUGAUAGUUUGGUUCAUUUGAUUGGGAAGCUAUUUAUGUAUAAACAUUACAUUUUCUCCAAUGGACUGCGCGUGUUUCCUACAACUAGAUGGAGAAGUCUAGAAUGGUUGUUCACCAAAACUGCUACCACCCUACUACUGAAUGUCAGUCUCACAGCCAUUAGUUGUCUCGAUAACUAUAGUUCUCAAUGGACCAUUAGAGAUUAGGUCCUUCCUCUCUAGAAAGAUCUGAUAACUAAAGACAAAUUCUUUAGAUCAGUCAUGGCUAGCUAAUUUUUACAUGUCAAUAACGAUUAAAUUCGUUGAAGUUGAUAUCUAUGUUCUAUCAUUGCUGUCUCUCAACGAUGUGCAACUCUAAUUUAUUAUUUAUAUAUAUAUGAUUUUAACUUUACAAAAGAAACUCUUAUAAACCUGCUGGUUCAUUAUCUUAUCACUACUACAAUUCCUAUCAACAACAACAUACACUUAGUGUGGCAAAAAUAGGCUGAGAGCCACACAUUUUCGUGUCCAACCCUCCCUUGCCAUAUUACAACCACAUUUUUUGGGCUUGUGGAGUGUAGGGCUGUAGCAAUCAACAAAAAGCCACAUUUAAAAGAGAAUGUGGAACUAAGUCAACAAAUCCAUUGUUCCCACUUAUGUGUGGGCCCAGACUGCUAACAAUUUCAAAAUAAAUUAUAUCUUGUUUUUUUAUUAACACCAAUCAAUAUCAAUUAUGGGUCCCACAAGUUUAUUGCACGGGUUGUAUUAUGUAAAUAAACUUCACCAACUUGUACAGUUAAUUUUUUUUACCGUGUCUUACUGUGGUAAAAACAUUAAACCAUUCUAUUAAAUUUUGUAUUUUCAAAAAAAUUUCCAUUAAAAUCACCUUCAACUAUUCCAGACCUGUUUCCAAAUAAAACAUCUAUAUUCACAUUCAAGAAUCCAAAUCAAUGUAAAGAAAAUUAAUGGACUA
This 1653-nucleotide long non-coding RNA is filed under the name Fragaria vesca (wild strawberry). Its description in RNAcentral is "long non-coding RNA (FVES_LNC004430)". Lineage: Eukaryota; Viridiplantae; Streptophyta; Magnoliopsida; Rosales; Rosaceae. The record is from RNAcentral.